UGCAAACAUGAGAGAGUGUGUGUGACAGAACAGCAAAGUUCAGAGUGGUAUUCAUGUUAAUGGAGGAAAGGGUCUGGAUGAAGAAAUGGGGAGCAUUGCUACUGCAGCUGCCACUGUUGCUGUGACCUGUGGUGUUGUCUGUUGCUACUUUAACCUAUGGUCAUGAUUAAUACUGCUCUGACCUGAAUUUUUUUCUUCUUUCAAUUUAAAAACAUCUUUAAAGUUUUUAUAUUUUUUCUCAUCAGUCUGGGCUUUUUUUCCCCACUUUGUGUAAGUUUAGACAGGUCUCAAGAUAGCGUGGGCCAAAAUGGUGAAGAUUGGACAAUAUUUGGACGAGGAGCAGCAAAAAUGGCACUUAGAUGGAAGCAAUUUUGGCAACUAACGGUGACCUGAAACUUAAUUAAGCUGCGUGACAACAAUAUCUCCCUCUAAGGUUUCGUGUUGGCUGCCCCGACCAUAUGGCAAAGGAAGCGCGCAUUCACAAAAAGCUUGCCCCAGAAAUGCUGUGCUAGUACCACAGAGGUACUAUGAAGAGUGCUACGGCUCAAAACUAUCCUUUUUAACGAGUUUUAUCUGUAGAAUGUUAUAUUCUAGAAGUGAAAGGCAAAUGUCA
Molecule: long non-coding RNA, 613 nt
Organism: Ictalurus punctatus (channel catfish)
Lineage: Eukaryota; Metazoa; Chordata; Actinopteri; Siluriformes; Ictaluridae
Source: Ensembl